Long non-coding RNA from Anguilla anguilla (European eel), 919 nucleotides. RefSeq lists it as uncharacterized. The transcript is spliced from 6 exons. The record is from RefSeq and is a predicted model, not a curated record. NCBI's taxonomy places the organism in Eukaryota, Metazoa, Chordata, Actinopteri, Anguilliformes, Anguillidae.
UCCUUGUUUCAGACAUUUCUGAGCCAGCAAUUAAUUUACGUCACAGAAACAAAAUCCAAUUCAGUGGUGUGCACGCGACACGCCUCUUGGUGGAAGAGAGUAAUCCUCUAGUUUUGUGGAGGCCUACGCGACUGUUAUGACCAUAAUUGUCGACCUGGAAAACACCUAGCCUUGUCAUGCUGUUGAGACAGAGACUGUGGAGGAUGUUCGAGCCCAGUGCUGGAAACUCUCUAUGUCGUUGCCAUCUGCAUUGGCUUUUUGCUGCCUGGGACGGAUGCUUGGUGGAACAGUUCUCAAUGUUACAGCAGGUGUUCCUGGAAGAUCGACCCGCAGGUGAACCUGUCGAGUUUGGGCUAGGCCUUUCUGGACCAUACCCUGGUUGAGUGCUCAUGGAAACGGUCCUCAGCAGUUCCAGAAGGAGAAACCGAGCAGAACGGGGGCGGAAGAUUCCAGAAGCUCUCCUGAGAACUCCGGAAAGUUCCGGAACAGGGCCUUUACGGAACAUCCUGUAAAGCAUUCCCGCAUCGGACCUUGUUGCCAGACGCAGUUAGUGGAGUCAAAUCCAAGGGCGUUCCGUCGAUUGCUGAUACCGGGGAAUCUGUGACCACAAGAGGGCGCAGCUAUUCCAAGAUGCUCGUGUUCUGUUAUGCGGUGCGUUGCGUGAUCUCGAUACUUAAGAAAGGAAAGCACGGCGUGAACAGCUUAUCCUUCUCGGGUGUCAAGAUGGAGGAGAUGGAGCUCACAGAAACGCACGUGCUCAAAGGUAAGGCAAACCAGACCACGUGCUGUCACAUUUAUCACACUGGCAAGCAAUGUAAUGACUCUGCAGAAUGACGCAAUCCAGGCAACUUCUGUAAAAACAACCAACGGCCGAUGGCAAGAUAAAAAAUGUAAUAAAAAAAUAAAUAAACAACUUGAA